Molecule: ribosomal RNA, 2904 nt
Filed under: Escherichia coli
Lineage: Bacteria; Pseudomonadati; Pseudomonadota; Gammaproteobacteria; Enterobacterales; Enterobacteriaceae
Also listed under: 1 other name
Description: 23S ribosomal RNA
Rfam family: Bacterial large subunit ribosomal RNA
Source: RNAcentral
GGUUAAGCGACUAAGCGUACACGGUGGAUGCCCUGGCAGUCAGAGGCGAUGAAGGACGUGCUAAUCUGCGAUAAGCGUCGGUGAGGUGAUAUGAACCGUUAUAACCGGCGAUUUCCGAAUGGGGAAACCCAGUGUGAUUCGUCACACUAUCAUUAACUGAAUCCAUAGGUUAAUGAGGCGAACCGGGGGAACUGAAACAUCUAAGUACCCCGAGGAAAAGAAAUCAACCGAGAUUCCCCCAGUAGCGGCGAGCGAACGGGGAGGAGCCCAGAGCCUGAAUCAGUGUGUGUGUUAGUGGAAGCGUCUGGAAAGGCGUGCGAUACAGGGUGACAGCCCCGUACACAAAAAUGCACAUACUGUGAGCUCGAUGAGUAGGGCGGGACACGUGGUAUCCUGUCUGAAUAUGGGGGGACCAUCCUCCAAGGCUAAAUACUCCUGACUGACCGAUAGUGAACCAGUACCGUGAGGGAAAGGCGAAAAGAACCCCGGCGAGGGGAGUGAAAAAGAACCUGAAACCGUGUACGUACAAGCAGUGGGAGCCUCUUAAUGGGGUGACUGCGUACCUUUUGUAUAAUGGGUCAGCGACUUAUAUUCUGUAGCAAGGUUAACCGAAUAGGGGAGCCGAAGGGAAACCGAGUCUUAACUGGGCGUUAAGUUGCAGGGUAUAGACCCGAAACCCGGUGAUCUAGCCAUGGGCAGGUUGAAGGUUGGGUAACACUAACUGGAGGACCGAACCGACUAAUGUUGAAAAAUUAGCGGAUGACUUGUGGCUGGGGGUGAAAGGCCAAUCAAACCGGGAGAUAGCUGGUUCUCCCCGAAAGCUAUUUAGGUAGCGCCUCGUGAAUUCAUCUCCGGGGGUAGAGCACUGUUUCGGCAAGGGGGUCAUCCCGACUUACCAACCCGAUGCAAACUGCGAAUACCGGAGAAUGUUAUCACGGGAGACACACGGCGGGUGCUAACGUCCGUCGUGAAGAGGGAAACAACCCAGACCGCCAGCUAAGGUCCCAAAGUCAUGGUUAAGUGGGAAACGAUGUGGGAAGGCCCAGACAGCCAGGAUGUUGGCUUAGAAGCAGCCAUCAUUUAAAGAAAGCGUAAUAGCUCACUGGUCGAGUCGGCCUGCGCGGAAGAUGUAACGGGGCUAAACCAUGCACCGAAGCUGCGGCAGCGACACUAUGUGUUGUUGGGUAGGGGAGCGUUCUGUAAGCCUGUGAAGGUGUACUGUGAGGUAUGCUGGAGGUAUCAGAAGUGCGAAUGCUGACAUAAGUAACGAUAAAGCGGGUGAAAAGCCCGCUCGCCGGAAGACCAAGGGUUCCUGUCCAACGUUAAUCGGGGCAGGGUGAGUCGACCCCUAAGGCGAGGCCGAAAGGCGUAGUCGAUGGGAAACAGGUUAAUAUUCCUGUACUUGGUGUUACUGCGAAGGGGGGACGGAGAAGGCUAUGUUGGCCGGGCGACGGUUGUCCCGGUUUAAGCGUGUAGGCUGGUUUUCCAGGCAAAUCCGGAAAAUCAAGGCUGAGGCGUGAUGACGAGGCACUACGGUGCUGAAGCAACAAAUGCCCUGCUUCCAGGAAAAGCCUCUAAGCAUCAGGUAACAUCAAAUCGUACCCCAAACCGACACAGGUGGUCAGGUAGAGAAUACCAAGGCGCUUGAGAGAACUCGGGUGAAGGAACUAGGCAAAAUGGUGCCGUAACUUCGGGAGAAGGCACGCUGAUAUGUAGGUGAAGUCCCUCGCGGAUGGAGCUGAAAUCAGUCGAAGAUACCAGCUGGCUGCAACUGUUUAUUAAAAACACAGCACUGUGCAAACACGAAAGUGGACGUAUACGGUGUGACGCCUGCCCGGUGCCGGAAGGUUAAUUGAUGGGGUUAGCGGUAACGCGAAGCUCUUGAUCGAAGCCCCGGUAAACGGCGGCCGUAACUAUAACGGUCCUAAGGUAGCGAAAUUCCUUGUCGGGUAAGUUCCGACCUGCACGAAUGGCGUAAUGAUGGCCAGGCUGUCUCCACCCGAGACUCAGUGAAAUUGAACUCGCUGUGAAGAUGCAGUGUACCCGCGGCAAGACGGAAAGACCCCGUGAACCUUUACUAUAGCUUGACACUGAACAUUGAGCCUUGAUGUGUAGGAUAGGUGGGAGGCUUUGAAGUGUGGACGCCAGUCUGCAUGGAGCCGGCCUUGAAAUACCACCCUUUAAUGUUUGAUGUUCUAACGUUGGCCCCUGACCGGGGUUGCGGACAGUGUCUGGUGGGUAGUUUGACUGGGGCGGUCUCCUCCUAAAGAGUAACGGAGGAGCACGAAGGUUGGCUAAUCCUGGUCGGACAUCAGGAGGUUAGUGCAAUGGCAUAAGCCAGCUUGACUGCGAGCGUGACGGCGCGAGCAGGUGCGAAAGCAGGUCAUAGUGAUCCGGUGGUUCUGAAUGGAAGGGCCAUCGCUCAACGGAUAAAAGGUACUCCGGGGAUAACAGGCUGAUACCGCCCAAGAGUUCAUAUCGACGGCGGUGUUUGGCACCUCGAUGUCGGCUCAUCACAUCCUGGGGCUGAAGUAGGUCCCAAGGGUAUGGCUGUUCGCCAUUUAAAGUGGUACGCGAGCUGGGUUUAGAACGUCGUGAGACAGUUCGGUCCCUAUCUGCCGUGGGCGCUGGAGAACUGAGGGGGGCUGCUCCUAGUACGAGAGGACCGGAGUGGACGCAUCACUGGUGUUCGGGUUGUCAUGCCAAUGGCACUGCCCGGUAGCUAAAUGCGGAAGAGAUAAGUGCUGAAAGCAUCUAAGCACGAAACUUGCCCCGAGAUGAGUUCUCCCUGACUCCUUGAGAGUCCUGAAGGAACGUUGAAGACGACGACGUUGAUAGGCCGGGUGUGUAAGCGCAGCGAUGCGUUGAGCUAACCGGUACUAAUGAACCGUGAGGCUUAACCUU